RNAcentral lists this ribosomal RNA (323 nucleotides) under Staphylococcus pseudintermedius. RNAcentral describes it as "partial 23S ribosomal RNA". It matches the Rfam family "Bacterial large subunit ribosomal RNA", at positions 20 to 336 of the family's 2925-position model. Lineage: Bacteria; Bacillati; Bacillota; Bacilli; Caryophanales; Staphylococcaceae. The record is from RNAcentral.
CACGGUGGAUGCCUUGGCACUAGAAGCCGACGAAGGACGUUACUAACGACGAUAUGCUUUGGGGAGCUGUAAGUAAGCUUUGAUCCAGAGAUUUCCGAAUGGGGAAACCCAGCACGAGUUAUGUCGUGUUAUCUGCAUGUGAAUACAUAGCAUGCAAGAAGGCAGACCCGGAGAACUGAAACAUCUUAGUACCCGGAGGAAGAGAAAGAAAAAUCGAUUCCCUGAGUAGCGGCGAGCGAAACGGGAAGAGCCCAAACCAAUAAGCUUGCUUAUUGGGGUUGUAGGACACUCUGUACGGAGUUACAAAAGAAUUUGUUAGACGA